RNAcentral lists this ribosomal RNA (366 nucleotides) under uncultured eukaryote. Its description in RNAcentral is "partial 18S ribosomal RNA". It matches the Rfam family "Eukaryotic small subunit ribosomal RNA", at positions 592 to 976 of the family's 1831-position model. The record is from RNAcentral.
CAAUAGCGUAUAUUAACGUUGUUGCAGUUAAAAAGCUCGUAGUUGGAUUUCUGGAGGGAGCGUCGGCCCGUAUUUACGAGUGCGUGACGUCUCUGUCCAUCCUUGCGGGAAGGCACGGCAUUGAUUUGUUGUGUCGGAUCGCAUCAUUUACUGUGAAAAAAUUAGAGUGUUCAAAGCAGGCUUUCGCUUGAAUACAUUAGCAUGGAAGAAUAAGAUAGGACUUUGGUGCUAUUUUGUUGGUUGAGCCUAAAGUAAUGAUUAAUAGGGAUAGUUGGGGGCACCUGUAUUGCGUUGUCAGAGGUGAAAUUCUUGGAUUUACGCAAGACAAACAGCUGCGAAAGCGUCUGCCAAGGAUGUUUUCAUUAA